RNAcentral lists this ribosomal RNA (459 nucleotides) under uncultured bacterium. Its description in RNAcentral is "partial 16S ribosomal RNA". It matches the Rfam family "Bacterial small subunit ribosomal RNA", at positions 338 to 795 of the family's 1533-position model. The record is from RNAcentral.
CCUACGGGUGGCAGCAGUGAGGAAUAUUGGUCAAUGGCCGAGAGUCUGAACCAGCCAAGUCGCGUGAGGGAAGACGGCCCUACGGGUUGUAAACCUCUUUUGUCGGAGAACAAAACCCGGCACGUGUCCCGUACUGCGUGUAUCCGAAGAAAAAGCAUCGGCUAACUCCGUGCCAGCAGCCGCGGUAAUACGGAGGAUGCGAGCGUUAUCCGGAUUUAUUGGGUUUAAGGGGUGCGUAGGCGGUCCGUUAAGUCAGCGGUAAAAUUGCGGGGCUCAACCCCGGAGAGCCGUUGAAACUGGCAGACUUGAGUUGGCGAGAAGUACGCGGAAUGCGCGGUGUAGCGGUGAAAUGCAUAGAUAUCGCGCAGAACUCCGAUUGCGAAGGCAGCGUACCGGAGCCAGACUGACGCUGAGGCACGAAAGCGUGGGGAUCGAACAGGAUUAGAUACCCUAGUAGUC